GUGGGGAAUUUUGGACAAUGGGCGAAAGCCUGAUCCAGCCAUGCCGCGUGCAGGAUGAAGGCCUUCGGGUUGUAAACUGCUUUUGUACGGAACGAAACGGUCCUGGCUAAUAUCCGGGGCUAAUGACGGUACCGUAAGAAUAAGCACCGGCUAACUACGUGCCAGCAGCCGCGGUAAUACGUAGGGUGCGAGCGUUAAUCGGAAUUACUGGGCGUAAAGCGUGCGCAGGCGGUGCUGUAAGACAGGCGUGAAAUCCCCGGGCUCAACCUGGGAAUUGCGCUUGUGACUGCAGUGCUGGAGUGCGGCAGAGGGGGAUGGAAUUCCGCGUGUAGCAGUGAAAUGCGUAGAUAUGCGGAGGAACACCGAUGGCGAAGGCAAUCCCCUGGGCCUGCACUGACGCUCAUGCACGAAAGCGUGGGGAGCAAACAGGAUUAGAAACCCCUGUAGUCC
Molecule: ribosomal RNA, 450 nt
Filed under: uncultured bacterium
Lineage: Bacteria
Description: partial 16S ribosomal RNA
Rfam family: Bacterial small subunit ribosomal RNA
Source: RNAcentral